UGUCUGCUGGAUGGAGUCACUGAGUCUCAAGGUAGAAGAAAACUCCUACACACAAUGUUGUAUUGCCAACCAAGCCCCAGCCCCACGAGCUCGAGGCUGCUUUGAAUGUAUCAGAGCAGUCGAUCGUCCUGGUUGAAUAAAUCCUUGAUUUCAUAUCUAGCUCUGGUGAAUGGCUCUGCCUGUUGCACAAACAAGUCACAAGCAGAAUAUUGGAUCUCAGGGCCACAUACUUCCUUUUGAGGUGCUCCCGUGUCUCCAUCCCAUUGCACCUGCAAACAGAAGAAAGGAAAGUAGGCAGUGCCCCGUCCAUAGCAGUGUGCUCCUUCUGAAAGGAAAGGUCAGUUGUGUUGGUGUGCACUUUGGGAAGAGACAAGCACCUGGGGAAGUAAUUAUGGAGAUGAGGUAAUUUUUUAAAUUUCAUUUUUUCUUUGCUAUCUUUUCAGGAAAGAACACUCUGUCUCGUAAAGUGCUGCUCUGCUGGUGGUUCUCCAGCAAACUUGGCUGCUUUGGACAACUUCUGAGACACUGGAUCACUUGAUAUCUUUCAGGCUGUUACAUAAAUCUACAACGUUCACUUAGAUACUGGAACAAAAUCUUCCAACAAAGAAGAAGUGGGCUGUCAGCAGCCAAACUCCUCCCAUGAGGCUUUGUGAAAGCCACAUUUCCUGCCAGUCUCUGCAACCAGAGGGCUGAAAACUGAUUCAGUUUAUUAAAGAUGGAAAUAUAUGGGUGAUCUCCUCAGGUAGGAACACGCAGUUCUGAUUGCUGGUUCUCUAAUAAAAGUGUAAAAUCCUGCUAUUUGCAGCAGAAUUGCUCUGUUUUCCUUGCUCAUUUUGAGCCUGUGUGCAGCGUGUGCUGUCUGUAUGUUGUCCCCCAGCACGUGGUGAGGCUCCAGACUGUGUCCACAACGGCAGGUGUCCCCCUGGAAGAGGGGGAAAAGAGAGACUAGAGAAAUGCUAAUUAUUUUGCCUGUCCCUGGAAAUCAUGUGGAAGCUGGUGCCUUUUGAAAAGCUUUGCUGUAAACUCUGCUUUAGUGACAGAUGUAUCUCCUCAUUGAAAAAUCCUCUUGAUCUGCUGCCCUGCUAGACAGCCACACUUCCAACAAUAACAGAGAUCCAUGUUGUGCAGCAUGUUUUUCCUCAUGUAAUGUUGGGGGAGAGGAGAGAACCAAAGAAGCUGAGUCGUUUAUCUUCUUUGCUUGUCUUGGUAAUGAAAUAUUGCUGUUGAACUUUGCCCUGCCUUUCCUGUUACUUUUUUUUUUUUUUUUUUUUUUUUUUUUUUUUUGCAAUGGUUGCCAUUUAAGAGGUUCACAAAAUUGCAUUAGUAAAAUUUAUGACUGUGCAGCAAAUAUGUGCAUAUGCAUUAAUUCUGUUCAAGGCCAAUAUCUUGUAGCUGCAAAAUUAAUGUUAUGGUGCAGUUUCUAAGUAUGGCUAAUGGCUGUUCAAUAAAGCAGGGCUCGUGUUUUCCUCACCUUACAGCUCUUAAUUCCUUGAAACAGUCCUGCCUUGAAGAGUUUGCCAGGUAAAAGUUAAAAAAAGGUACAUGCACAACACACAAAUAUGUAUUUUUUAUACAUUUUUGGUUAUGCAAUUAACCCUUGAAAUUUUUGGCCCUGUGAGUUGGUUCAGUUGGGUUUCUGCUCCUUUGCAUGGCUUUUAGUUCCAGGUUUCAAAAGCAGAUGUCUAUGAAUGCAGUGCAUUAAAAAUGGGCCUUUUAGCCAUGAUUCUGAUCUGGAGAGACUGAACUGGAUGUUAGUGUUAUCCUGAGAGUUACACCUCAUGCUGUUUUGGAGUCAGUGAACAAUAACUGCUCAGUAAACGAUAAAUUAAUUGGCAUUACUUACAUUUAAACGUUCAUUUUCCUACUAUGUAAAAAAGCCACUUUCUGAUAGAAGGAUGAAUUAGUAUUUGUAGUCUUUUUACCAGUUUAAAGGUAGUUACUAAUCUGGUAUUCAAGGUUGAAGACAUAACAAAAGACAAAUGACCGAUGAUGAGGGCUUGCUCAUGUGAUAGUUGGAGAAAAGAGGUUGGAGAAAUAUUUUCAGGAUGCUGAGAUAGGAAUUUAGACAGUAUCUGACAGCACCUGUUUACUUCUUCAAAGCUUUGUCUGACAGCCAGAAGAAAGCUCCAUGCUUGUGAUCUGGAGCGAUUGCCUGGUGUUUGGGAUGUGAUAUGUGCAAGAUCACUGCUGCUAGAGGUAAAAAGCUGAUCCCUUGGGACUCAAAAGUAUGAAGUGCUGAGGAGCUGAGGUGGACUGGAGCUCCGGGGCCGCCAAAUGUCUGGGUAUGUCCAAGUCAGGCUAUGCACGAGCCCACUGGUCCCAAAAGUGGCUCCAACCACAACAGACCCUGGGCUCAUGUCCGACGAUCGCUUGGCAAAGGGAUCAGUGGCAGCAGCCUGCAAAGCUCUGAUGGAGGACACAAAUAUCCAUUUACCAUUGUGGGGGAGGGCUGGGGGGCAGUGACACUUUUUUUUCUCUGCCAAAAGCAAGGCAUCUGUGGGGUGGAAAAAGCAGCGCAGUGGGAAAGCUAAUUUCAUGUGAAAGCUCUCAAGGCAGUACCGUAUGUCUUCCAUGUUUUGGGACUAGUUGCUUGAUCUCUGUGGGCUUUGGUUUCAUGCCAGUUACUCACUGUGUCUCUCUCCAGGCAUUUUCUUGGAAUAGAGCUUGUCCCUUGCUGUGGGGUCAUGAGAUGCCCAGGAAGAGAGGGGCCAAACAGGGGCUGAGAAAUCUUACAAGCACCACCUUGAUGCUUAUGAUGGUGUUGCCACUAUCAUAGAUAGUUACAGCCAGAUCAGUCAUCAGAUUUGUAACUCUGGUGGUAAUCAGUGAUACGACACCAGGGAGGUGUUUGGCUCAGCUUGUCAAAGUGUUUUGGUAUUGUGAGAAUGAUGAAUGUCACUGGGAAAGCUUUUUGGGGAAGAUAACAUGAGAGAGAAAAGCAGGGGAAGUGUGAUGCCCUGCUGGGAGCAUGGGGAGCGUGGGGAGAGUGGGAUUAGUGCUGCAGAAGAUGGGCAGACAGCGAGCAUCUGCUCUGGGCUACCAGGAUCAGAGCACAGCAGGACUGAGAAAUUCUUGGACCAGUUAUCAAGGAAUUGGGAAACUCCAGAAUACUGUACUCAUGGGGGAUUUUUAUUACCCAGACAUCUGCUGGGUAACAAAUGCAGCUAAUCACAGUGAUAAUGUACAACCCUAAUUCACUAUAAAUUCUCUCCCAUAUGUUUACAAUUGUAUUUACAGUAGGAAGUGAGGGACAGUUAUUCAUGAAUCAAGGUGAAAUGAGUUGCUGGGGCAGAGUCAGCCAUGUAUUAUGGAAAAUAAUGUGUGACAGACCUGAACAGAAUCCUUCUGAAAGCAUGGCUGUAUUUCAGGUGUUUUAAGUAAAAAAAAAAAAAAAAAAAAAAAAGUUCCUGUAAUUACUGGUUGCUUUUAAAUGUGCCAAUUGAGCUACUCAUUUCUCCAUAACCUUUGCUGACUUCGAAGAACAAGUUUACAAGUGGAGUUGAUGAAGAUUUAUCCUCCAGAUGAAAUACACCUCUUCAAAUCCAAUUCUGCUGAUGACGAGGUGGAAAAGGGUUAAGAAAAAAAUAAGAAAGGAACCAUGAUAAUGGCUGCUUAGCUCAUCGGUAGCACAUGAAAGGAUGUUGUUUUAUUGAUAUACUUCUAUGGCCUUUCGCCUGUUGCAGGCAAUAAUUUUGCCCUCUAACUCACCACGGACCCAGAAGAGCACUGUGAGCUCAAAUACACCUGAUAUUGAGGGGGGCAGGAGGUGGCUCAGCUGCCGGAGUUCAGGGCUGAGCACAGGUAGUUACUGAUGAAUUGCGGUGCCUUUUCCUGCCGUUCAGCAAUCCCUGCUCCCUGGCUGUGCUUGCCCCCGCGCUGCCUCCUCGGCGCCGUGGGUUUAUUUUGGUAAGGAUGUGUAAGCCGAGCUCUGGCUUCGGCCACUCAGAGCCCGGGGAUUUGCAUAAUGGCAUUACUGCUUAUUCCUCAAUUACAGUCUUUGAAUAUGCAAAUCUGCUGAUGCUGGUUACUGUAAUCCUCCUGCCCUGGCAGGUCCCCAGCUGGGGAAGUUUUUGAGCCAUUUAUUGGCAAUGAGAGUUUUCCUCGUGGGUUUCUUAUUUCCAGCUGUGGGUAAAGGGGAAAAGUCCUCAAUCAGCUACCUGAAAUAGAGGAGAACGAAAUUCAGAAAAAGGAAAGACCAUUUUAAAAAAGAGCUUGGAUGCUUUUUCCCCCGUCAUCUUCCUUGCAGGAGCUCAUGUUCAUGCUGGUGAGAUGGGAUGGAUCAGCUUGCUCUGUCCUACACACCACAGCAGGGUUUGUCCUUGCAGCAACUUUCCCUGUUCCUCUCUGCCCUGGCUGCUGCCCACCUGAAAUUUGGGUUCAAAGCAAAAGAGAUGAGAGAACAAGCAGUGGUUUUGAAGGUUGCCUGUCCACUUGCUGCUCUUGGUGGCCUCCUGGCUCUGGAGGGGUUAGGUCACUGUAAAGCAGGAGAGCAGUUCAGCAGAGGACUUGCAGCCUUGGGUGGAGAGAUGGGAAACCUCAACUCAGAGCAGCUGAGCACCUGCCCCAGCUUAGACAAAAGAAAGUUUGCUGAAUUGCAGUGUUUUGCUGUCUGCUGAGUUGUAUAAGCAUGUCGAGAGCUGCAGCUCUUUUUAUUAAAGCAUGACUUGAGUAACCUUUCCCAUUUCUACUCCCAAUAUUUUCUAGUAGUAUUUUCAGCUGUAUUUAUUUUUCCCCCUGUGUCUUUACAAAUAAAGGGGGAGAGUUUUUUCAAAAUUUUAUUCUCAAGUAAGAGAGAGUCCAAACUGCUUUAUUUUCUGGAAGAAGUAGAUUAUUACAGGAAAAUCAACACCUUUUCAAUGGCAAACCUGGCAAAACUUCCCAGGUUUUCUGAAGAGGCAGCACCUCACCCACCAGUCCCUGCAGUUUAACCUCACUCAGUGCCAUGGGGGCCAGCACUCAGCUGGCAGAGACUGUCCUCGGAUUCAGCUGCUGGGCAUCAUCCUUUCCUUACAGCUUCAGCCCCCUCUGCUCAACACCCUGUGCUCCCAGGGCAUUCACCAUAGCUCGUGUUCUUCUUCCCUAGCCAUGGACCAGGUAGCUCCAUCUGCAGACACAGCAUUUGUUGAGGAAAUCAGCUCCUUUGCAUCUGACUUAAUGGCUGUGCUGUGAGAAUGUUGCUGUCACACAACUCAAAAUGUCCCGGGAGUGGGGUAUCUGGACAGAUCUGAGAGGAACACUUCUCCCUGUGUAUGGGAACAUGUCCCACGCCAUUGUGUGUUAAUGGAUAUGAUUUAUUUCAGAAAAAAAACCC
Molecule: long non-coding RNA, 5311 nt
Organism: Corvus hawaiiensis (hawaiian crow)
Lineage: Eukaryota; Metazoa; Chordata; Aves; Passeriformes; Corvidae
Exons: 2
Source: RefSeq, a predicted model, not a curated record